Molecule: microRNA, 23 nt
Filed under: Ciona intestinalis (vase tunicate)
Lineage: Eukaryota; Metazoa; Chordata; Ascidiacea; Phlebobranchia; Cionidae
Description: Cin-Mir-1495_5p* (star (passenger))
Source: RNAcentral
CGCUCCAUAUAUGUCACACAUUC